GCUUGCUCCACCGGAAAAAGAGGAGUGGCGAACGGGUGAGUAACACGUGGGUAACCUGCCCAUCAGAAGGGGAUAACACUUGGAAACAGGUGCUAAUACCGUAUAACAAUCAAAACCGCAUGGUUUUGAUUUGAAAGGCGCUUUCGGGUGUCGCUGAUGGAUGGACCCGCGGUGCAUUAGCUAGUUGGUGAGGUAACGGCUCACCAAGGCCACGAUGCAUAGCCGACCUGAGAGGGUGAYCGGCYMUAUUGGGACUGAGACACGGCCCAAACUCCUACGGGAGGCAGCAGUAGGGAAUCUUCGGCAAUGGACGAAAGUCUGACCGAGCAACGCCGCGUGAGUGAAGAAGGUUUUCGGAUCGUAAAACUCUGUUGUUAGAGAAGAACAAGGAUGAGAGUAACUGUUCAUCCCUUGACGGUAUCUAACCAGAAAGCCACGGCUAACUACGUGCCAGCAGCCGCGGUAAUACGUAGGUGGCAAGCGUUGUCCGGAUUUAUUGGGCGUAAAGCGAGCGCAGGCGGUUUCUUAAGUCUGAUGUGAAAGCCCCCGGCUCAACCGGGGAGGGUCAUUGGAAACUGGGAGACUUGAGUGCAGAAGAGGAGAGUGGAAUUCCAUGUGUAGCGGUGAAAUGCGUAGAUAUAUGGAGGAACACCAGUGGCGAAGGCGGCUCUCUGGUCUGUAACUGACGCUGAGGCUCGAAAGCGUGGGGAGCAAACAGGAUUAGAUACCCUGGUAGUCCACGCCGUAAACGAUGAGUGCUAAGUGUUGGAGGGUUUCCGCCCUUCAGUGCUG
Molecule: ribosomal RNA, 792 nt
Filed under: Enterococcus faecium
Lineage: Bacteria; Bacillati; Bacillota; Bacilli; Lactobacillales; Enterococcaceae
Description: bacterial SSU rRNA
Source: RNAcentral